Molecule: ribosomal RNA, 406 nt
Filed under: uncultured bacterium
Lineage: Bacteria
Description: partial 16S ribosomal RNA
Rfam family: Bacterial small subunit ribosomal RNA
Source: RNAcentral
AUUGAACGCUGGCGGCGGGCUUAACACAUGCAAGUCGAGCGAGCGGCGGACGGGUGAGUAAUGUCUGGGAAACUGCCUGAUGGAGGGGGAUCACUACUGGAAACGGUAGCUAAUACCGCAUACCAUCAGAUGUGCCCAGAUGGGAUUCGCUAGUAGGUGGGGUAAUGGCGCACCUAGGCGACGAUCCCUCGCUGGUCUGAGAGGAUGACCAGCCAAACUGGAACGGAGACACGGUCCAGACUCCUACGGGAGGCAGCAGUGGGGAAUAUUGCACAAUGGGCGCAAGCCUGAUGCAGCCAUGCCGCGUGUGUGAAGAAGGCCUUCGGGUUGUAAAGCACUGUCAGCGGGGAGGCGUUACCCGCAGAAGAAGCACCGGCUAACUCCGUGCCAGCAGCCGCGGUAAUUC